UACGGGAGGCAGCAGUGGGGAAUAUGCACAAUGGGCGAAAGCCUGAUGCAGGACGCCGCGUGAGGGAUGACGGCCUUCGGGUUGUAAACCUCUUUCAGCAGGGAAGAAGCGCAAGUGACGGUACCUGCAGAAGAAGCGCCGGCUAACUACGUGCCAGCAGCCGCGGUAAUACGUAGGGCGCAAGCGUUGUCCGGAAUUAUUGGGCGUAAAGAGCUCGUAGGCGGCUUGUCGCGUCGGUUGUGAAAGCCCGGGGCUUAACCCCGGGUCUGCAGUCGAUACGGGCAGGCUAGAGUGUGGUAGGGGAGAUCGGAAUUCCUGGUGUAGCGGUGAAAUGCGCAGAUAUCAGGAGGAACACCGGUGGCGAAGGCGGAUCUCUGGGCCAUUACUGACGCUGAGGAGCGAAAGCGUGGGGAGCGAACAGGAUUAGAUACCCUGGUAGUCCACGCCGUAAACGGUGGGAA
Molecule: ribosomal RNA, 461 nt
Filed under: actinobacterium Jbg13
Lineage: Bacteria; Bacillati; Actinomycetota; Actinomycetes
Description: bacterial SSU rRNA
Rfam family: Bacterial small subunit ribosomal RNA
Source: RNAcentral